UUUCCCCCCUGGACGAAGACUGACGCUCAGGUGCGAAAGCGUGGGGAGCAAACAGGAUUAGAUACCCUGGUAGUCCACGCCGUAAACGAUGUCGACUUGGAGGUUGUGCCCUUGAGGCGUGGCUUCCGGAGCUAACGCGUUAAGUCGACCGCCUGGGGAGUACGGCCGCAAGGUUAAAACUCAAAUGAAUUGACGGGGGCCCGCACAAGCGGUGGAGCAUGUGGUUUAAUUCGAUGCAACGCGAAGAACCUUACCUGGUCUUGACAUCCACAGAACUUUCCAGAGAUGGAUUGGUGCCUUCGGGAACUGUGAGACAGGUGCUGCAUGGCUGUCGUCAGCUCGUGUUGUGAAAUGUUGGGUUAAGUCUGCACCGAUGCAAU
This 380-nucleotide ribosomal RNA is filed under the name Escherichia coli. RNAcentral describes it as "bacterial SSU rRNA". It matches the Rfam family "Bacterial small subunit ribosomal RNA", at positions 721 to 1102 of the family's 1533-position model. Lineage: Bacteria; Pseudomonadati; Pseudomonadota; Gammaproteobacteria; Enterobacterales; Enterobacteriaceae. The record is from RNAcentral.